Non-coding RNA from Peromyscus maniculatus bairdii (prairie deer mouse), 610 nucleotides. Lineage: Eukaryota; Metazoa; Chordata; Mammalia; Rodentia; Cricetidae. The record is from RefSeq and is a predicted model, not a curated record.
CAGGAUGGAACAGCUCCGGGAUCCUGUGACAGGGAUCCUCUGAGUGGAAAGAGAAGGCUUGCGUCUUUUACCCGGAGUAAAUUUGCUAUGUGUCAGCAGAGUUGUUAUUCCACAGCAGUUCUGGGGCAAGUGAACGAGACCCUUUAAUUCUAACCUCUCCGUCCUGACGGUGGCCCAACAGAGUCAGACACACAGGACUCAGAGUUUAUCCAGAGAAAAGACAGGAAGAAUCACUUCACCCAAGAAAGGACUGAAGCUCUUCCAGGCUCUUGGUCUCUCUCUGGUGUUGGAGAUCAAGGCCAGGCCCUUGCUCAUGUUAAGCAAGCCCUGGACCACUGAGCUGUAUCUCUAGACCUGAGAAGAAGGAUUUUUAAGAACACACAGAAAAGACCAUCUGAAAACAUACUGGAACUGUGUAUCAGGAGAUGAGAGCGACAGGGAGAGGAGCAAGCAGUCUUAACCACGGCCCACAGUGCCACCAAAAGAAAGACCAAAAGAGAGAAGGAGCAAGGGCUGGAAGAAUGAGAAUUUGCUGAUAUUCCACUCAGUCCUUCUAACUCUGAUGACCAUGACACAGCUCAUCCCACUAAUGACACCUCAACAUCAUCAU